CUGGGGCUGGCUUAGUGGUUAAGAGCACUAAUUGCUCUUCCAGAGGUCCUGAGUUCAAUUCCCAGCAACCACA
This 73-nucleotide transfer RNA is filed under the name Mus musculus (house mouse). RNAcentral's name for it is "tRNA-Ser". Lineage: Eukaryota; Metazoa; Chordata; Mammalia; Rodentia; Muridae. The record is from RNAcentral.